ACGAACGCUGGCGGCGUGCUUAACACAUGCAAGUCGAGCGGUAAGGCCCUUUCGGGGUACGACGAGCGGCGAACGGGUGAGUAACACGUGGGUGACCUGCCCUCAGCUCUGGGAGUAAGCCGUGGGAAACGUGGGUCUAAUACCGGAUAUGACUCCAUGACGCAUGUUGUGGGGUGGAAAGCCUUGUGCGGCUGAGGAUGGGCCC
This 205-nucleotide ribosomal RNA is filed under the name uncultured bacterium. RNAcentral's name for it is "partial 16S ribosomal RNA". It matches the Rfam family "Bacterial small subunit ribosomal RNA", at positions 29 to 232 of the family's 1533-position model. The record is from RNAcentral.